CAACUACUACCUCUGUCCCAAAUUUCUUGUCUUAGAUUUGUCUAGAUACAGAUGUAUCUAAUACUAAAAUGUGACUUGAUACAUCCUUAUCUAGACAAAUCUCAGACAAGAAUUUUGGGACGAGGGAGUACUUU
This is a non-coding RNA of Triticum aestivum (bread wheat), 134 nucleotides long. The record is from Rfam. Lineage: Eukaryota; Viridiplantae; Streptophyta; Magnoliopsida; Poales; Poaceae.